This 484-nucleotide ribosomal RNA is filed under the name uncultured bacterium. RNAcentral's name for it is "partial 16S ribosomal RNA". It matches the Rfam family "Bacterial small subunit ribosomal RNA", at positions 30 to 507 of the family's 1533-position model. The record is from RNAcentral.
AUUGAACGCUGGCGGCAGGCCUAACACAUGCAAGUCGAGCGGAUGAAGGGAGCUUGCUCCUGGAUUCAGCGGCGGACGGGUGAGUAAUGCCUAUGAAUCUGCCUGGUAGUGGGGGAUAACGUCCUGAAACGGGCGCUAAUACCGCAUACGUCCUGAGGUAGAAAGUGGAGGAGCUUCGGACCUCACGCUAUCAGAUGAGCAUAGGUGGGAUUAGCUAGUUGGUGGGGUAAAGGCCUACCAAGGCGACGAUCCGUAACUGGUCUGAGAGGAUGAUCAGACACCCUGGAACUGAGAAACGGCCCAGACUCCUACGGGAGGACGCAGUGGGGAAUAUUGGACGAUGGGCGAAAGCCUGAUCCAGCCCUGCCGCGUGUGUGAAGAAGGUCUUCGGAUUGUAAAGCACUUUAAGUUGGGAGGAAGGGAAGUAAGUUCAUACCUUGCUGUUUUGACGUUACCAACAGAAUAAGCACCGGCUAACUUCGUG